Molecule: long non-coding RNA, 759 nt
Filed under: Bos taurus (domestic cattle)
Lineage: Eukaryota; Metazoa; Chordata; Mammalia; Artiodactyla; Bovidae
Description: long non-coding RNA NONBTAT020634
Source: RNAcentral
UGGUUCCUCUUAUAAGAAUGUUAAUAGUUUAUUCUGUUGAUUAUCACUACCAGCUUAUAUAUGAUCAUCAUUGUUGCCUCUGAUUUCUCCUUAGGAAGUGAGGAGUCUUUUAAGAAGAUAGAAAGUUACUUUAUUCAAACUUGUGCAAUACUUGUGAUAUUUUAAAAUUGGAUGUGAAAAAUGAUUUCACAUUCUAUUCCUUAAUCUAGUUCUUUUCAUAAAGAAAGGUGAAGGUUCAAGUGUUCAAUAAAAUGUAGGAAUAUUAGAAAAGUAUAAAGGAAAUAAAACUGUUACUCAUUUGGGGGGAAAAGUGAGACAGUAGAAUUUGAUAAUUGAAAUAUUAACCACAUAUUUGGUGACAUAUCUUCAAAAAUGGUUGUUUCAGGUUGUUAUAUCCAAAAGAUUGAGAUAUACCAUGUUAUGAAAGUAGUAAGAAUAAAAACUAAAGUUUCUUCUAAAUGCAAGGAUCUAGUAAAUACAGAUUGUCCGGUUGUGAGAUGUCCAAAGUGCACAUAUACAUGUGAGUGCUUUGGAGAAUUAGUUUUAUCUGUACUGGAAGUAUCAUACAUUGUAGUUAACACUGUAGUUCCUGGAAUUCUGGUUUUCAUGAGUUGCUGAAUAAGUACAUAGUUCAUCAGCACCUUCACCUCCACUCCAUUACACCUCAGAGGUGUAACCUAUUAUCUGCCAUCACUAACAUUUCAUGGAAGAUUAGUUUGUCUUUUCAGAAAUUUUAAAAAUAUGUAAGGUCUGAUGACU